GUUCAAUUCAGAAGUAUGCAUACAAAAAUUGGAAUGAUGCAGAGAUUAGCAUGGCUCCUGUGCAAAAAUGAUUUGCCAAUUCCUGAAGCAUUCCAUAAUUCA
Antechinus flavipes (yellow-footed antechinus) is the source of this 102-nucleotide small nuclear RNA. The record is from RefSeq and is a predicted model, not a curated record. NCBI's taxonomy places the organism in Eukaryota, Metazoa, Chordata, Mammalia, Dasyuromorphia, Dasyuridae.